Molecule: unclassified non-coding RNA, 256 nt
Filed under: Hevea brasiliensis (rubber tree)
Lineage: Eukaryota; Viridiplantae; Streptophyta; Magnoliopsida; Malpighiales; Euphorbiaceae
Source: RNAcentral
AUACUUCUGCCCAACUUCAUAAUGGAGAAUUUGAAGUCCUUCUCCAUGCUCUGUAGGAAUGAAUGUAAAAUCUGCUAUUCUUUUCUCUAUGUUACUGAUGAUUUUGUCCUGCCCUCUAUUCAGAAACAUCCCAGAACUGGUGCGCACCCUGCUAUCCACACUUUUGCCACUUUUGCUAUCAACCACAGUUGAUUUCUCCAUGUGAGGUUUUGCAAGACUAAUCAAGUACAAGCAUUCUUCCUUGGACAAGAAAUUG